RNAcentral lists this ribosomal RNA (468 nucleotides) under uncultured bacterium. RNAcentral describes it as "partial 16S ribosomal RNA". It matches the Rfam family "Bacterial small subunit ribosomal RNA", at positions 28 to 507 of the family's 1533-position model. The record is from RNAcentral.
GACGAACGCUGGCGGCGUGCUUAACACGUGCAAGUCGAACGGUGACGGAGGAGCUUGCUCCUCCUGAUCAGUGGCGAACGGGUGAGUAACACGUGAGCAAUCUGCCCCUGACUCUGGGAUAACUGCGGGAAACUGUAGCUAAUACCGGAUACGACGCGCGAAGGCAUCUUCUGCGCGUGGAAAGAAUUUCGAUCAGGGAUGAGCUCGCGGCCUAUCAGCUUGUUGGUGAGGUAAUGGCUCACCAAGGCGACGACGGGUAGCCGGCCUGAGAGGGUGACCGGCCACACUGGGACUGAGACACGGCCCAGACUCCUACGGGAGGCAGCAGUGGGGAAUAUUGCACAAUGGGCGCAAGCCUGAUGCAGCAACGCCGCGUGAGGGACGACGGCCUUCGGGUUGUAAACCUCUUUUGGCAGGGAAGAAGCGAAAGUGACGGUACCUGCAGAAAAAGCACCGGCUAACUACGUG